RNAcentral lists this ribosomal RNA (406 nucleotides) under uncultured bacterium. RNAcentral describes it as "partial 16S ribosomal RNA". It matches the Rfam family "Bacterial small subunit ribosomal RNA", at positions 29 to 526 of the family's 1533-position model. The record is from RNAcentral.
AUUGAACGCUGGCGGCAGGCCUAACACAUGCAAGUCGAGCGAGCGGCGGACGGGUGAGUAAUGUCUGGGGAUCUGCCCGCUAGAGGGGGAUAACUACUGGCAACGGUUGCUAAUACCGCAUACUAUCGGAUGAACCCAUAUGGGAUUAGCUAGUAGGUGGGGUAAAGGCUCACCUAGGCGACGAUCUCUAGCUGGUCUGAGAGGAUGAUCAGCCAAAGUGGGACUGAGACACGGCCCAGACGCUGACGGGAGGCAGCGGUGGGGAAUAUUGGACAAUGGGCGCAAGGCUGAUGCAGCCAUGCCGCGUGUAUGAAGAAGGCCAGAGGGUUGUAAAGUACGGUCAGCGGGGAGGCGUUACCCGCAGAAGAAGCACCGGCUAACUCCGUGCCAGCAGCCGCGGUAAUUC